This 6802-nucleotide long non-coding RNA is filed under the name Phaseolus vulgaris (common bean). RNAcentral describes it as "long non-coding RNA (PVUL_LNC003773)". Lineage: Eukaryota; Viridiplantae; Streptophyta; Magnoliopsida; Fabales; Fabaceae. The record is from RNAcentral.
UCUAAAAUAGUAUCUAAUUUAGUCAAUAUAACAAUUAAUUAUUUUAAAUCUCUAAAAUUAGUUUUUAUUUAAUAAUUUUCUAAUAGGACAGAAUAACUUUCUAAUAAUGUUCGAUCGAUUACAUAUUAAUCAAUAUUCGAUUUAAUGGAAUGAGGUUAUCAACAAAUUUUUUUAUCUAAGUCACUGAAAUUAUACAAGAUUAUACACGAAAGAUUCUUAUUUGGCUAGCCUUAUGUCUCUUAUCCUAGGUCUUCCUCCACUAGGAGGUGCAUAUAUGAUGCAAAAUUUUCUAGAUAUCAUGAAAUACUCAGUAACUUGUUGAAAAAAUAUGUAAGAAAGCUAAAAUGGGAUGCUUUCAAGUAUAUUUACAUAACUAUGAAGAAAUUAAGGUUUAAAAUAUUGAUUAUCCUAAUUGAGAGGAGAAUGAAAGACCUUCUGGAGAACAAAAAUGGGGAGAGAACACCAGAUGUAUCCCUAGCAGCCCAUCCAUAGGCCUUCCUUGGAUGCUCAACUUCAGGUUCCACUGCCAUUUCACUCAAAUCUGCAACUCAGAAACAAAGUAAACUCCCAGAAAAGUUAAAGAAAGGAGUAACAAAAACUGUGUUUAGUGUGUGAGAGAGAUGAAUAAGUAACUGAUGUGUCUUAAGAAAGCCAAGUUUAAGGAUAUUUAUAAGAUGGAAAGUGGGGCCUUCUGGUGUCUGCUGUCUGCUGCAUUGACGUAUCGAAUGACCUCCUUCAUCUGAUACUAAAUAAAAUAUGAGUACCUUGCUAGCAUAAUUAAGAAAAACUAAUCACAGAUAUUAUAUAUGUUUCUGUGAUUAAUGCUAUUGAUUAAUGAAUGCAAUUCUAGAGCUAUCAGUGAUCUGCAAUAUGUGUUGACCAAUUAAUGCUAGAGCCGCCAGCAAAAGUAUAUGCAUUGAAUCAAUGAAUACUUGCAAUGGAAUCGAUUGGAUUAAUUACUUUUAAAAUAUAUGUGGUUACUUUUUCAAAUUCUAUUUUGAUUGUAUUUAUGUUUUAAGUAGUUAUGUAAAAGUUGGUUUGCUUAAACAUGUUUAGUGUAAUAUUUUAUUUAUAGUUUUUUUUUUGGGUGGUGUUAUUAGUAUAUAAGAUCUCUAAAAGCUGUAUUUAAGUUUUUUAAUAGCAUAUUUUAUUUUGAGAGUUUAAGUGGAUUUUUUAGGCCCAUACUAAAUUUAUGCUCGAGAUGACUCUUUAAGUGACUAACUCUCUUAAUGUAAUGUUUAAUUUUGACUCAGUUGUGUGUAAUGUAUGGUGUAUAUUUUUUUUAUUAUUGUUUAAUGUUAAAUGUUCUAUUAUCGAGAAAAAUAAGUGUGGUUAACUAUCAUAGAGGUUGCAUAAAGAAGAAGAAAUUAAUUUUGCAUGGGGCAAAUUAAAUGCUUCUCAAAUUAAAGCACAAUAGAUGGAAGGAGAAAAAGAAAAAAAAAACAUUGAUUUGAGUUCAAAGCUACUUGAUGCUAAGAAAAAAAAAGCAAUAACUAUUUUAUUCAAGUUUAUAUAGAUUAGGGAUGACAAUGCGAGACAAACUCACUAAUCUAACUUUUUAAUCCCCUUUGGUUCGUCUUGCAUAACCCACAACCCGCACGGGCCAACAAUAGGCGAAUUGGUCCGCGUAAAAAAAAAAUAAUUAUUUUUUUUAUAUAUAAAAAAAAUCAUACCUCAUUCAUCCAUUAUUGCAGUGUGGCCUUUAUUUUAUUUUAUUUAAAAUAAAUAAAUUUAAUGUACUAAAAAAUGGAUGUUUUAUUUUAAUUAGGUAAAAGAGUUAGUAUUAAUAGUGAUAGUGGAUUUAGUUUUAUGUAAAGUCUUAUAUUUAAAAUUUGUUAAUAAAAAAAAUAUAUAAAUAAAUGAUUUCAAUAUGAUAGUUAAAAAAUUAGUCAUCUUCAUUAAAAUAGUUUGUAGCAAAACUUUUAUAAGAUACUCUUGUACAUUUACAUACGUAUAUAGGAAAAAUAGACGCAAAACAAAACUUUAAUUAUUUUUUAUCAAUUCUUCUAACAACCCUCAUACUUAAAUUUAUAUUUUGAUCUUAAUUAAAUGAAUUGAAACACGGAUACAAUUUUAAUUUUUCAGUAGUAAGAAUAAGUUUUUUUAUAAUUAAUGAAAUUUUAAGUUUUGAAAAGAAAAAAUAAUCUUAUGCAAGUUGGUCCGUGGGUAAUUUCUUAUGCAGGGCGGGCCAAUGAAGUGAGUCGUACUCCUAGCGCGAGGCAGGCCAAUUGGACUCGCAUUUUGCGGGUCUAUGCGAUGCGGGCCAACCCGCAUUGCCACCCUACAUUGUCACCCCUAAUAUAAAGACAUCCUUCGAAGAGAAUAACAAAAAUAACCAUUAUUUUACAAGUGUUGAAACUGCUAAUUUUAUCAAUACCCUAAAAGCUUUGUAAAAAUACUAUUUAUGUUCAUCACAACAAACUAGUAGAGAGAGCAUAAAUCAUUGCAUAAAUCAAAAGACACUACCAUAUCUAGUAAAUAAAAAAAUAUGAUUUUUUGAUCAUAAAGACAUUAUUUGUAUCUCAAGCCAAGAAUGACUUUAUGUUUAAAGUGUAGGGACAACUGACUCUAUAAGGGAUUGAAUGAAGUUUGAACUCAAUUCACGAGUCUAAUAACAAAAUAAAAAUAACAUUUAACCGACAAAGGAAAUAAAACACAUAUUUAUGUUGGUUCACCCUAUCCCUUACGUUACAUCCAGUCCCUUUAAACAAACUACUUAAGAACUUUUCACUAAAUUAUUAAUAUUUAAUGUAGUUUCUAUUAUUAAUAUAAUUUUAUAAAAUAGUUUUUAAAUUUGUAUAUAAUUAGUAGUUACGUUUUUAGUUACUAAAUACUUUAUAUUUUAAAUAAGUUUAUUUUCAAUUUCUAAAUUAGUCUCUGUGCUAAAAUAAAGUAAUGUGAUAGAAAAUAUGGAAAUCGUUUCCACUAUUAUAUUAUAAAAAGGACUAUAAUAAUAUUAUUAUUAUUAUUAUUAUUUAGGUUUAAAUUUAUAAAAAUAAAAAUUAUAGUGCUCAUUAUUAUUAAUUCAUCGUUUAUUUUAUACAAUUUAUUAUUAGUUUAAAAGAAAAUGAUACAGUAAAUAAAAUGAUACUUAAUAUUAAAUCACUAAAUUAACAUUUAAUUAUCAAAAUCAUAUAUAAAUUUUAUUAAAUAAACUAAUACUAAUAAAUUUAACAUCACUACAAACUAUAUAAAAAAAAGUAAAAUCUCAGUCAAUUCAUAUAUAUUUUUAUAUAUAAAUCAUAAAAUAACAUGGAUGUGAGAUGUGGAAAUUAGAUUGAGUUUCCUUAUUGAGAACAAAACGUGUGUGGCGAAUAACAUCAGGAAUACCAAAUAUAGUGUGAAUCACUCCAAAUAGCAGUUAGGGUUUCAAUGUGUUCCCAAUGUCAAUCACAAAUCGAUAUUUAACAUCAGCUUUCACUAGUCUCUGCAUUGCUGUGUUCACAUAAUCCAUUGGAAUUACUUCAAUUUCUGGUCUAAUAUUGUGUUCAGCAGCAAAAUCAAUCAUUUCUUGUGUCUCCUUCAUUCCUCCAAUGUAACUACCUGCUACACUUUUUCUCCCUGCCAAGAACAUGCAAUAACACUCCUAAGCCUUACAAUAUAUAGAAAAUGUUGUGGCCAUAUCCAUCACUGAAAUGUAUUUGAAUUGUUACCCAAAAUUAAAGUGGGGAGUAGCAACUCCAGAGGCUUCUCUGGUGCCCCAACUGCCACCAGUGUCCCAUGAGACUUCAGUAGAUCAAUCAAAGGCAUCAGAGGAUGAACUGCAGAAACAGUGUCGAUUAUACCAUCCAAGGUGCAUAUUGCAGCCUACAUACACAGUUUCAGGAUUAUAUCAUAAUGCUUUCUCUCUCAACACUUUUCACUCUUUUUGGUUAAAAUCAAAGAGAUGAGUCAAACAAGAUUGUACUUAACUCAAUCCUAGAAAAUAAAUUACCUAUAAUGGUCCCACAGAAACAACAACAAUCAUAAUUUCAACUUAAUUCAAUUUCACUCGUAAAGUAAAAACUAUUUCACAUUUUGUAUGUUAUAUUAUUUUUAGGAAACUUUAGAGUAUUUUUUUUUUACUAAAAUGUAUAAUUUCCCCUUUUUUAUCCUAGUUUUUGGAAAUAUUAUGGAUUUGGAAAAAUCGUGUCAACAUGACACGACUUUUUUUAUAUUUCAAGGUAAAAUCGUAUUAAAGUGUCAUCACAACUAGUUAGAAUUGAAGUCAUAUCACUUUGUCGAUUUCACCUUGUCAUGAUUUUUUCACAAUAAAGUUGUAUCGACUAUUCAUGACACGUAAGAAAUAGAUGAAUAAUCAUCUGUUUUCGUAACAAAUUGAUUUUUUUUUUUCAGAAUCCUAUAAGAAUUUUUUUGUUGGAAAUCUUGCAAGAAUUACUCGUUCUUUUUUUCUCUAACAGAUGAUCAAAACUUCAUUUGAAUUUGAAUCGAAUCUCAUAAAUUGUCGAAAAAAGAACAAAAGAAACAUCUUACUCUUUCUAUAUGAUUAGAAAAAAAAAUAGUGAAUUUAUAGGACUUUUUCAUGUUGGUAAUUUUUUCACAAAAUUAACCCCAUUUUAGUAAAAAAACCCCAUUUAAGUAAAAAAUGGAGAAAAUUGUCUCACUUUCAUGAAAGUUCUUAUUAUGAAAAGCAUGGUGUGAAGGAAAAAAACAAAAUAGGCACCUUCAUUUGAUCUUGGUCUCUACUGACCAGAAAGGAAUCUGCUCCAAGAUGUUGAAUGGCUUCUUCUUUCUUAUUAGGAGAGGUACUAAUGACAGUGACCUUCAAACCAAGGGCUUUUGCAAACUUGACAGCCAGAUGGCCCAGUCCUCCAAGGCCAACCACUCCCAGGUGCAAACCAGGUUUAUCAAGGCCAAAAUAUCUCAAAGGGCCAUACACUGUGAUCCCUGCACAAAGCAGAGGAGCAGCAACAUCAAGAGGUAGGCCAUUGGGAAUGCUGACAACAAAGUGUUCAUCUGCAACCAUGAAGUCAGAGAAUCCUCCAUAUGUGAUGCUGCCAUCCACAUACUUGGCACCAUAUGUGGGAAUCGUUUUUUGACAGUAAUUCUCAAGAUUGUUGACACAGUUUUGGCAUGAGUGACAAGACCCAACCAAGCAUCCCACAGCCACCUUCUCUCUAACCUUAAACUUUUCUACUUUGCUUCCUACCUCUGUCACUUCUCCAACAAUCUCACGCCUGCAAAUUUUUUUUAUAUCAGCAAAAAUAAAUAAAUAAAUAUGAAUCAUUUCAGAAGUGGUUGACUCCUUAUACAAAACAAGAUACUUCAGACUCAACUUUUCUUCUUGCAACUUGCUAAAACCCAACAAAAUUAACGACAAAACAAACAUCCUAACCAAACGACAAGCUUUACACAUGCUGACAAAGCCCUCAAAUCCAACCUUCUCAAACAAAAGAUCUUGAAAUUCACAGUCACUUAAUCAAAAACAUACAAACUAGUAAGUCAAUGCACCAAUCAGAAAAAAAAAGCAAUUAUCAUUGAAAAUUUGAAAUCAAAGAAGCAUAAGAUUUUACAUGUGUAAUAGCUCCCUUAUGAUGUGAUUAGAUAUUUACAUAGUCUUUACUAUUUCUUUCUUCUCUUCUCUCAUUUCCCUCCUUUUCUUUGCAAACAAAAUAUCCAUUUUCUAUAUUUCUAUCAUACUUCUUUCUUACCUACUUACAAAUCAUUUGUAAAAGGAACAAAGUAAAAGACACAAACAUUAUUAGAAAGGAAGAAGGAGAAAUCAUACCCUGGAACAAGUGGAUAAAUGGAAUCACUCCAUUCAUUCUUCAAUUUGUGAAGGUCUGAGUGACAUAUUCCACAGUACAACACCUUGAAUGUCACAUCUUUCUCACCUGUUUUUCUGUUAUUCCAAACACCAUUUUAAACGCCCUAAUUUUGUUUGUUUAAAUUGACUAUCGAUUCACAUAGUAAUAUUAUACACAAAAACUCCUUAUAUAAGAUGACUAAUAUCUUAAAAAUGGAACUUUUCGAGUUUUAGAUAAAAUUUGUUAAAGUUUUUAUAAUAAAUAUGAUGCUAUAAUUUAAUAUAUUGCUAGUAUUUUUUAAUUUUUUACACAGAUAAAAUUGUCUGUUAAUUAGUAUUUAAUGUUAUACUAAAAAAUAAUUUUACUUUUACUAAAUAAAAUAUUUUACCAAGGAGGGGUACUAUACCAAUUGUUUCCAGCGUGUAAUAAACAAUAAUUUGUAGGUGAGAGAGACUUGGAUAAAGUUUAAUUUUUUAUUUUUUUUAUAUUUCCUAUAUUAUUUUAAUUGCUUUUAUUUCAUACCUUGCAAAAAUUAUUAAGAUUUUUUAUUUAGAAUUCGUAUAAAUCUAACAUAUUAUAUUCUCAUUUUCUUUUACAAUAUUCAUAUUUCUUUAGUUUUAAAAGCAAUACACACUUUACAUAUAUGAUGCAAAUAUUUCUAUAAUGAUAAAAGAAAUUAAAAGGUGUUAAGCUAAUAUGAAAUACACAGUAACUUGUUCAAAAAUAAUAUGUAUAAAAAAUAAAAUGGAAUAGUUUGAAGUAUAUUUAUAUAACUAUAUGAAAAUAAACAAGUAAUUAGGGUUUAAAAUAUUGAUUAUCCUAAUAGAGAGGAGAAUGAAUGACCUUCUGGAGAACAAAAAUGGGGAGAGAACACCAGAUGUAUCCCUAGCAGCCCAUCCAUAGGCCUUCCUUGGAUGCUCAACUUCAGGUUCCACUGCCAUUUCACUCAAAUCUGCAACUCAGAAACAAAGUAAACUCCCAGAAAAGUUAAAGAAAGGAGUAACAAAAACUGUGUUUAGUGUGUGAGAGAGAUGAAUAAGUAACUGAUGUGUCUU